UACGUAGGGUGCGAGCGUUAAUCGGAAUUACUGGGCGUAAAGUGUGCGCAGGCGGCCGAGCACGUCGAGUGUGAAAGCCCCGGGCUUAACCUGGGAACUGCGCUCGAAACUACUUGGCUGGAGUGUGGCAGAGGGAGGUGGAAUUCCACGUGUAGCGGUGAAAUGCGUAGAGAUGUGGAGGAACACCGAUGGCGAAGGCAGCCUCCUGGGCCAACACUGACGCUCAUGCACGAAAGCGUGGGGAGCAAACAGG
RNAcentral lists this ribosomal RNA (253 nucleotides) under uncultured bacterium. Its description in RNAcentral is "partial 16S ribosomal RNA". It matches the Rfam family "Bacterial small subunit ribosomal RNA", at positions 524 to 776 of the family's 1533-position model. The record is from RNAcentral.